Molecule: ribosomal RNA, 471 nt
Filed under: Triticum aestivum (bread wheat)
Lineage: Eukaryota; Viridiplantae; Streptophyta; Magnoliopsida; Poales; Poaceae
Description: partial small subunit ribosomal RNA
Source: RNAcentral
AUGUGGUUUAUACAUAAACAAGUAAUCUUGACCAAGGAUAAUUUGAUAAAGCGUAACUGGACAGGACCUACUAGAUGUAGCUUCUACGAUCGGGAUGAAACCAUCAAACACCUUUUUCUUGAGUGCCAGUUGGCAAAAGUCUUAUGGCGGACGGUCUAUAUUGUCUUUAAUAUUACUCCUCCGAGUUCUGUCAGCACGUUAUUUGAAACGUGGCUUAACGGGAUAGAGUCCGAAACAGCACGACACAUUCACGUAGGAGCAUGUGCUUUAUUAUGGGCAGUAUGGAACUGCAGAAAUGAUUUGGUUUUCAACAGAGCAACAAAUAUUCAUUUUUUACAGGUUAUCUUCCGAGCCACUGCGUUGAUCCGUAUGUGGUCGCUACUCACUCCGACGGAGGCCAGGGAGCGUUUGGUUACUGGAUCUAUCCGAUGGGAGAUGGUAGCACGGGAUAUCUUCAACCGGUUUGGAUGA